This 638-nucleotide long non-coding RNA is filed under the name Marmota monax (woodchuck). Lineage: Eukaryota; Metazoa; Chordata; Mammalia; Rodentia; Sciuridae. The record is from RNAcentral.
GCACCUUCACGGCCACUGAAUCCUGGCCAGACCAUUAUCCCCUUUCUGUCCUCUGCCACCUUCAACCAGCCUAGGGGCAGAGGAGCAGAUAACUGGGGUUUGAGACUGAGGGACGGACAUCCUGGCCUGGAGCUCCCUCCUUCCUUUUUCCUAUGCCAUUUUUCAGUCUCAUGCUUUCUCAUGGCUGAUACUAGUGCUGACAUUUGUCGCAGAAUACCUUCUCUCCCCGAGGACCUUCCAGGGUGACUCAUUUGAGAUCUCAGGCGAGUGGCUACUGAGCCUCGAGAGCCACCAGGAGCGGGGAAACAUGACUGAGCUCACAUCAGAGCUGGGCAGCGGUUGGGGGCCGGCCAUCCCCCCACCCGGAGUGCAAAGGUGGCCACAAGCCCCCUUGCACCAUGUCUUCUUGUGCCUGAGUAGAGCACAUCUUGACCCAAAAGGACUGUGUGUACGUGGGAGUUGGAACCUUAUGCAUCUCAUAUUUCUGUGUCCUGAGCUGCGCACAUGAUAAGGCCCUGGAUUCUGUGCUUCAGAGAUCUCUGUUGCCUUUCAGGUCCAUUUUCUCAAGCAGGUGAUGGGAGGGCCUCCUAGGUCAGACUCUGCCAUGCCCACUGGUACUGGCCUUUCUCUAAGAUGAC